RNAcentral lists this long non-coding RNA (6402 nucleotides) under Gossypium barbadense (sea-island cotton). Its description in RNAcentral is "long non-coding RNA (GBAR_LNC010605)". Lineage: Eukaryota; Viridiplantae; Streptophyta; Magnoliopsida; Malvales; Malvaceae. The record is from RNAcentral.
CCUCAAUUAGCUAACAUAGCCUCUUGUAUUCAAUCUAAACACGUAUAUACAACCUAAAUCCCUCUUUUAACACAUAAUUCACUAUCUUGGAACUCAUUUCCUAACUAAUUUAACUUAGUCCAAAGCCGAAUGCUAUUUGAGCAUUAAGCUCAUGUUCUUUUCAUUAUUAAGCAAGUAUUAUAACUCAACUAACUUCAUUAGCCGACUACUCAAGCUCAUUUGAGCCACAUAUAGUAAUUUAGUUUGUUUAUACUCAAUUAGAAACAUUUCUCCUUACAAAUUAUCAAAACAUACACAAUGUAACCCAUUGAGCUCAUGACCGAAUGCUUCAUGCAUCACAAACACAAAAUCAUAUACAUGGGUCAUUUUAGGAGCUUUAAAACCAAUUUAAAUUUCUCAAAAUCCAAAUAAAAACAUAUGAAAUCAUACCUUAAUUCCCAACACAAGAUGGCCGAAUUCCUUAGGUGUUCUUUCUUCCAUUUUUCUUUUUCUUUUCCUUAUGGUUUCGGCAAGAUGAAAAAAAAGAUGAUGGAACUUUGUUUUUAUCACCACUACUAAUAUAAAUUUAUUAUUUCAAUAGAUAAAAAUCAUUUUAUAAUAAAAUGUUUAUUUAUAUCUUUAUUAUACAUAAUUCCCACCAAUUAAAAAUGGAGACAAGAGAACACAUUGUUACAUGCAUGUGUUGGUCGGCCAUUUACAUUCAAAAAUGGUGUAAUUGACAUGCAAGUCCACAUUUUUGAAUACAUGCUCUAUUAGAUCACUUUAUAUAUUUACCUAACCUAUUUUACCAAUGUUUCACAUAAGUCCCGUUUCAAAAUUUCACAUACAAAUGGCAAAAUUAAUGCUUGAAAUUUUUACACAUGCAUUUACUCACCUCAUGAACAUAGAAUAUAACUUUCAAUUAUUUAUAAAACUCAGUUUCGUGGUCUCGAAACCACUUUUCGACUAGGGUCAGAUUAGGGGUGUCACAACUCUCCCCCCCUUUAGGGAUUUUCGUCCCCGAAAAUUUCUACCGAUGCAUAGUUUAGGAUAACGUCCUCUUAUUGAAUUAUAUCCAUUUAAAUAUUAGCUCAUCGAUAGAAUUGUAAUUCAUUACUGAUUUCGCAUCGAUCUAUAAAAUCAUUUUCUUAUCUUAAAACAAAUACAUAAACAUUUCUACAAGUAUGCACAUAUAUCUCAUUUUCUUGAUUUCAUAAGCAAUAAUCACUUAAUUUAAUUCACAAAUGCAUUUCAAACACAUAUUAAGCACAUAUUAACAUGUAUAAUUCACAUCAUCAACCCACAUAUUUGUAACCCACAUUUCCAUUCAUGUAUAAGCUGUAACCUGACCGAAAGUACACACAUACUCAAACACCCCAAUAAAUAUCCUUUAUAACUCCAUCAUAUCUCGCCAUUCAACUUAACCUAUUUCCAACGGAAAAUCAACUUCGACAUACCUGAACAUUGAAUUCAUUUAGCACAUUCAAUCACAGUUAACAAUACCCGUAUACAAUCAAUUAGGCAUAAAACCUCAUAUAGUAUACCGGCAUGGGAUUUAUUUUAGCACAUAACUCAUAUAUCCAAAAUUAUCACAAUUCAUCAGAAAUUCUUACCAACUUUCAAAUGUUGAAACUUAAUCGAAAUAAUUUCUUGAACAUGAUUAACAAAAUAGUGUUUAUUCACAAUAGCACAUAUAACUGCAUAUACCGAGAAUCUCAUAUUUAUAAUGUAUAUAUAUAUCACAUACCUUGUCAAUUUAAUGUCUCGAACUUAUUUCAUUACCCAUUUAGCACGAUGUUGUAUAAUCUCCGACUCUAAUUAGUUCACCAGUGUCUAGUCCGUUUAACGAAUUUUCUCUUUAAGUCUUACUUACUAUUACAAAUCAAUGCCAUCGUCUCACACGAGGUCAUACAUGAAACACACUUCGCAUACUCAGUGCCCACUAACUGAUUUUGCACACAUAGUGCUCGAUUAAAGAACUCGCACACAUAGUGCCUCAACUACUAAUCUGGCACACAGAGUGCUCAGUUGAAGAGCUUGCACACACAGUGCCUUAUAAUUCCAGCACGAAUGCCUUCGAGGUUUAGCCCGGAUAUAUCACCAGCACUAAUGCUCUUCGGGACUUAGCCCGGAUAUAACACCAGCACGAAUGCUCUUCGGGACUUAGCCCGGAUAUAACACUCGCACGAAUGCUCUUCGGGACUUAGCCCGGAUAUAUCACUAGCACAAAUGCUCUUCGGGACUUAGCCCGGAUAUAUCACUAGCACGAAUGCUCUUCGGGACUUAGCCCGGAUAUAACACCAGCACUAAUGCUCUUCGGGACUUAGCCCGGAUAUAUCACUAGCACGAAUGCUCUUCGGGACUUAGCCCGGAUAUAUAACUCUCAAUUCUCAUGUACAUAUACAUAUAUAACAAUACACAUUAGUAUAUCAUUUACAUUACUUGAAUACAAACACAACAUGCUUAUCGACCAUUCAACUUUCAGUUCCAUAGCCAUAUACAAUGAUCACAUUUAUAGUCGUAACACUCUUUCAAAAUUGCAUCACUUAUACCCUUAUAAUUCAAUCCAAAUCAAAAUUCAAAUACGAGUACAUGAUACGUACCUGAUCAACUUAAUAAUUUAAGCAUAUCCAAGUGAAGUUAUAUCACAAAUUCUCAUAGUCAGAAGCUUGCUAUAGCUCGAUCGGGAUCAAGAUUCAUUACAAUACCACAAACACAUUUUAAUAGUCAAAAAUCAUCACUCAUGUUAGUCCUAGAAUCAACUAAAUCGUGGCUCUAAUACCAAAAUAAAAUGUAACACCCUUAUCCCGUAUCCGUCGCCGGAAUAGGUAAAGGAGCAUUACCGGACUUGAAACUCAUAUCAGAACAAUAAAAAUUUUGAUUUUUUUUUAUAAAGAACAUUCCUUUAGGUAAAUACUAAAGACAGUCAGGGAUACAAUUUAAACUUCUAUAAGUACACAUUCAAAAGAUGCCAUUUUUGCAUGGCUUAUAUACAUUAACCAAAAUAUUCUUCAGCCACUGGUCUAUUCUUUACAUGCCAUAAAUUAAUUCAAAACAUAACAGUAACAAGCAGUGGAUAGUGAUAGUGUGACUAGUUGCUGACGAUCCCCGAGCCUGUAGCUUCCAAAUGAGAUCUAUAAAAUAGAGGAAACAAAGUAAACGGAGUAAGCAUUACAAUGCUUAGUACGUUUUAAGCAGUGUCAACAGAUAACAAUCAAAUUAUAACAUAGUUGUUCGUAUUUUUAUUUCACUCUUCCUUCGGCAUACCAUCCCUUUACCGAAUAUGCACAUCUCAUCAUAUAUAAUAGGUAGAUAAACUUUCACAUAAAAGUGAGCUCAUGUGACAUAUAUAUAUUGUAUAAUUUCACAUAACCCCUCACACUGGUCCGAUGUCACAAAAUCAUAGGAAUAGUCUCAUAGAUUGCUCACGUAUGCAUCACAUAACUACCUUAUGAUUUAGUUCAAAUCAAGCUCACAUAUAAACUUGGAGUACAUACCUGUUUAACCUUUCGCAUUGAAUAUAUUUAUAAGCAAUUCUUAUUACGAAGUCUUAUAGCUUUAAACUUUACUCGGAUUAUCGGUGAGACCUUUAGCUUAGAUGAAAUCUCCACACGAAGUCAGCGGGUCUUAACCCAGACAUAGUCACCACAUAUGGUCAUCUGGUCUUUAAUCCCGGGUUUACAUCAUAGAGUUUCAUGCAUAUUUAUUCACAUGUUACAAUAUUCACAUCGACUAUCAUAUCUGUAAUUCAUUUACCUCAUCAAAUAUCUAAUAAAACACACCUUCCGCCGUCUGUCAUUUGGCCACAAUAUAUAUAUACACAUCUCAUACAUAUCUCACAUUAGCCAUUCGGCUUCGCCACAUAUAUACACUUCCACGUUUAUCACAUUGGCCAUUCUACCUUAUCACACAUAUGCAUGUUCACAUUCAUCACAUUGGCCAUUCGGCCUUAUCACAUAUAUACACUUCCACGUUUAUCACAUUGGCCAUUCGGCCUUAUCACACAUAUGCAUGUUCACAUUUAUCACAUUGGCCAUUCGGCCUUAUCACAUAUAUACACUUCCACGUUUAUCACAUUGGCCAUUCGGCCUUAUCACACAUAUGCAUGUUCACAUUCAUCACAUUGGCCAUUCGGCCUUAUCACAUAUAUACACUUCCACGUUUAUCACAUUGGCCAUUCGGCCUUAUCACACAUAUGCAUGUUCACAUUCAUCAUAUUGGCCAUUCGGCCUUAUCACAUAUAUACACUUCCACGUUUAUCACAUUGGCCAUUCUACCUUAUCACACAUAUGCAUGUUCACAUUCAUCACAUUGGCCAUUCGGCCUUAUCACACAUAUGCAUGUUCACAUUCAUCUCAUAAAAUCCUAAAUCAAAAUAUAAAUUUUCAUGUAUUCACAUCACAAUUAUCCAAAUAUACUUCACAUACCACAUAUACUUUCAUGUAUACACUUUGUCUUGGCUGAAUCUACAUCUAUCAUUUUCCAAUGAAUAAUUCAAUUUCAUGCCAUACUAUCAUUUCAUAUUCGAAUACUUAUAAACUUAAAAUUUCACAAAUUUUAAUAUCAAAGAUCCAUCUAACACUCAUAUAUCAUUUUACAAUAUCACAAUUUAGAAUUCACGUAUGGGUUUAAUCAAUAUCUUAUGAGCAACUAAAACAAGUUUUAUCCAUGUUUACAACAUAACCACAAAUUCUCUACAUGCUGUUUUCCUGAGCAACAGUCGCUAAAUUAUUUGUAACUGGGGCUACGAAAUUCCAAAUUAUGUGCCGUUAAUUUUCCAUGAAAAUAGACUCGUAUAUCCUCUAUCCACAAAAUUUUCAGAAUUUUUGGUUUGGCCAAUCAAUACCAGAUUUUUCUUAAAAUUUCCCCUAUUUUACUGCUUGACUACUCUGACUACUCUUCACUAAGAAUUUAAUUUCUCAUUGUACCGAAUUCAAAAUAUGUUUUCGUUUAUUUUGUUUGAAACUAGACUCAUUAAGGAGUCUAACCAUAUAAUUUUAUCUUGUAUUCAUUUUUGUACGAUUUAUAAUGAUUUUCCAAAUACUGAACAGGGGAUUUCGGAGCCAUUCUGACUCUGUCUCACACAACUUUGAAAAUCUCAUUAUCGGCAACCCCUUUACUUACACGAUUUCUUUUAUACGAAACUAGACGCAUCAAGCUUUAAUUACAUAAUUUAUUCAGCCUUUAACUCAACUCCCACAAUUUAUGGUAAUUUUUCCAAAACACGCUACUGCUGCUGUCCCUAGCAGAUUUAUACAAUUUACUCUGUAAAGUUCUCAUUCACAUAUUUAAAACAUAAUAUCAUAUAUGCCGUCAUUUAGAAAAGUCAUUGACCUUAACUUAUAUACAUAAUUCAUAUUCAUCCCGUUUUAAAACUUAAAACUUACAAAGGAAUCAAACUCAAUUACUUAAGAACUUACCUCGGAAAUUGUCGAACGAUUACAGAUUGACUAUUCGGUUAGGUAGCUUUUUCUCUUAUCCGAAUUAGACUCCCUAAGCUCUUGAGCUUGAAUAAACAAAUUCAAUCUAUUACAAACCAAUUAUACAAACUCAUGGCCGAAUAUAACAAGAAGACUAACUAGAUUCUACUAGCCACUCAUUGCUCUAUUAUUAACCUUACUUAAUUAUAAACACAUUCGACAAUUACCUCAACCUUAUUUAAUACAAUUAACACCGAAUUCCUCAUGUAAAAAGUACCAUUGCCGAAUACCAUUUAGUUCACCUUAAUCCAUCUCAUGAUCGAAUGCCUUUAAGCUUAAUAUCAUGGUAUCAUAACUCAACAUUUAUCAAUAUGUCAUUAACAAAAUAUGCUCAUGUCAAAUUUACUCCCAAUCACAUCUCAAAAUUCAACAAGCGUAUAACUCAUUUAAUAAUUAAAUUCCAUUUCAAAGUAUCAAAACAUUAUCAAAUGUAUACUCAUCCUAAAUGACCGAAUGCACAUUAACUAAGCACUUAACAAUUUUCGUUAGCCAUUGAACUCAUUCGGCAAUGAUAAGGACAAAUUUAACAAACCUUAAAUUUAACUUAUAAUUGUACAUAUCUCAUUCAAAACAUCGACACCAAUUUAUUAUCCAAUCAACCAUAUCCGAAAACCUAUCAUACAAUUAAAACCCUUGUUCAAAUUAUUAUUCACUAUAAUACUAUGGCCGAAUCCCUCAAUUAGCUAACAUAGCCUCUUGUAUUCAAUCUAAACACGUAUAUACAACCUAAAUCCCUCUUUUAACACAUAAUUCACUAUCUUGGAACUCAUUUCCUAACUAAUUUAACUUAGUCCAAAGCCGAAUGCUAUUUGAGCAUUAAGCUCAUGUUCUUUUCAUUAUUAAGCAAGUAUUAUAACUCAACUAACUUCAUUAGCCGACUACUCAAGCUCAUUUGAGCCACAUAUAGUAAUUUAGUUUGUUUAUACUCAAUUAGAAACAUUUC